This 386-nucleotide ribosomal RNA is filed under the name uncultured bacterium. RNAcentral's name for it is "bacterial SSU rRNA". It matches the Rfam family "Bacterial small subunit ribosomal RNA", at positions 30 to 414 of the family's 1533-position model. The record is from RNAcentral.
AUUGAACGCUGGCGGCAUGCCUUACACAUGCAAGUCGAACGGCAGCACGGGUGCUUGCACCUGGUGGCGAGUGGCGGACGGGUGAGUAAUGCAUCGGAACGUGUCCUAAAGUGGGGGAUAACGCAUCGAAAGAUGUGCUAAUACCGCAUAUUCUCUGAGGAGGAAAGUAGGGGAUCGAAAGACCUUAUGCUUUUGGAGCGGCCGAUGUCUGAUUAGCUAGUUGGUAGGGUAAUGGCUUACCAAGGCGACGAUCAGUAGUUGGUCUGAGAGGACGACCAGCCACACUGGGACUGAGACACGGCCCAGACUCCUACGGGAGGCAGCAGUGGGGAAUUUUGGACAAUGGGCGCAAGCCUGAUCCAGCAAUGCCGCGUGAGUGAAGAAGG